This 29-nucleotide small RNA is filed under the name Bombyx mori (domestic silkworm). Its description in RNAcentral is "ovarian small RNA-28712". The record is from RNAcentral. Lineage: Eukaryota; Metazoa; Arthropoda; Insecta; Lepidoptera; Bombycidae.
UCGCCGUUACUACCGGGCAGCGCGCCCAC